Molecule: non-coding RNA, 335 nt
Organism: Pelobates cultripes (western spadefoot toad)
Lineage: Eukaryota; Metazoa; Chordata; Amphibia; Anura; Pelobatidae
Source: the annotation of a GenBank genome assembly
CUGGCUUAAACGUUGGUAGGUGGUCAGGCUUUAUUGUGGCCGUCAAAACACCUACUUGUAGAUCUUUGUUGAUGUUCCCUUGUAACAAUACUCUUCGCAAAAAACACUUUUAAUCUAACUGGGUCACUCGCUUCAACCGUAUCUUGCAGGGAUUCUCAGGAUCUUGAGUAGCUUGCCAAGAAUCUGCUGCUGGUUUAACCCUGGAGUGAUGAAUCCACGGAGUCACCUUUGCCACCUUUAUACCUGUUGGAGUAGACAAAAGAACAGCAUAAGGACCCCUCCACUUUGGCCCCAACGGUACACUGUUCCACUCCUUUAUCCAAACUUGGUCUCCU